UUGAGGCCAUAUCACGUUGAAACUCCGUUUCCCAUACAAUCACCGAAGUUAAGCAACAUCGCACCUAGGUUACUUAGAUGGGUAACCGCUUCAGAAUACCAGGCG
Molecule: non-coding RNA, 105 nt
Organism: Acanthosepion pharaonis
Lineage: Eukaryota; Metazoa; Mollusca; Cephalopoda; Sepiida; Sepiidae
Source: the annotation of a GenBank genome assembly